RNAcentral lists this ribosomal RNA (403 nucleotides) under bacterium. RNAcentral describes it as "partial 16S ribosomal RNA". It matches the Rfam family "Bacterial small subunit ribosomal RNA", at positions 355 to 776 of the family's 1533-position model. The record is from RNAcentral.
UGGGGAAUAUUGCACAAUGGGGGAAACCCUGAUGCAGCGACGCCGCGUGAACGAAGAAGGUAUUCGUAUCGUAAAGUUCUGUCCUAUGGGAAGAUAAUGACAGUACCAUAGAAGAAAGCUCCGGCUAAAUACGUGCCAGCAGCCGCGGUAAUACGUAUGGAGCGAGCGUUGUCCGGAAUUAUUGGGCGUAAAGGGUACGCAGGCGGUUUAAUAAGUCGAAUGUUAAAGAUCGGGGCUCAACCCCGCAAAGCAUUGGAAACUGAUAAACUUGAGUAGUGGAGAGGAAAGUGGAAUUCCUAGUGUAGUGGUGAAAUACGUAGAUAUUAGGAGGAAUAACAGUAGCGAAGGCGACUGUCUGGACACAAACUGACGAUGAGGUACGAAAGCGUGGGGAGCAAACAGG